This 74-nucleotide transfer RNA is filed under the name Hypnocyclicus thermotrophus. It matches the Rfam family "tRNA". Rfam says of the family: Transfer RNA (tRNA) molecules are approximately 80 nucleotides in length. Their secondary structure includes four short double-helical elements and three loops (D, anti-codon, and T loops). The record is from Rfam by way of RNAcentral. Lineage: Bacteria; Fusobacteriati; Fusobacteriota; Fusobacteriia; Fusobacteriales; Fusobacteriaceae.
CGGAAUAUAGCGCAGUCCGGUAGCGCACCUGCCUUGGGAGCAGGGGGCCGCAGGUUCGAAUCCUGCUAUUCCGA